Molecule: ribosomal RNA, 466 nt
Filed under: uncultured bacterium
Lineage: Bacteria
Description: partial 16S ribosomal RNA
Rfam family: Bacterial small subunit ribosomal RNA
Source: RNAcentral
GACGAACGCUGGCGGCGUGCUUAACACAUGCAAGUCGAACGGUAAGGCCUCUUUUGGGGGGUGCUCGAGAGGCGAGCGGGGGUGUAAAACGUGUGUAUGAUGCGCUUGACUUUUGGGUAAAUUCAGGAAACUGGGGGUAAAACAGGGGAGAAGCUCAUGCUGUGGGGAGGGGGUUGGAAAGUUUGGGCGGUGUGGGAUGGGCUCGCGGCUUAUCAGCUUGUUGGUGGGGUAUUGGCUUACCAAGGCGGUGACGGGUAGCCGGCCUGAGAGGGUGGACGGCCACAUUGGGACUGAGAAACGGCCCAGACUCCUACGGGAGGCAGCAGUGGGGAAUAUUGAACAAUGGGCGGAAGCCUGAUGCAGAGACGCCGCGUGGGGGAUGACGGCCUUCGGGUUGUAAACUCCUUUCACCAUCGACGAAGGGUUUCUGACGGUAGAUGGAGAAGAAGCACCGGCUAACUACGUG